Molecule: transfer RNA, 75 nt
Filed under: Desulfovibrio sp.
Lineage: Bacteria; Pseudomonadati; Thermodesulfobacteriota; Desulfovibrionia; Desulfovibrionales; Desulfovibrionaceae
Description: tRNA-Gly
Rfam family: tRNA
About the family: Transfer RNA (tRNA) molecules are approximately 80 nucleotides in length.
Source: RNAcentral
GCGGGAAUAGUUCAAUGGUAGAGCGCAAGCUUCCCAAGCUUGAAGUUGCGGGUUCGAAUCCCGUUUCCCGCUCCA